AUACUAGGGAAAGCAUUGGGUGGAGGAGUUUUUCCUGUGAGUGCAGUUCUUGCAGACAAGGAUGUAAUGCUUUGUAUAAAACCAGGAGAGCAUGGAAGUACCUUUGGCGGGAAUCCAUUGGCCAGUGCUGAACUUCUUAAAUCCUAUGAUUAUAAAGUUUUACCUAAAGGAGCUAAAGCUACUGUCUCUCUAUGGUUCAGUUGCAUUUGAUGAAGAUUUUGAAGCUCAACUAGC
Arachis duranensis is the source of this 234-nucleotide long non-coding RNA. RefSeq lists it as uncharacterized. The record is from RefSeq and is a predicted model, not a curated record. NCBI's taxonomy places the organism in Eukaryota, Viridiplantae, Streptophyta, Magnoliopsida, Fabales, Fabaceae. The transcript is spliced from 3 exons.